RNAcentral lists this ribosomal RNA (243 nucleotides) under uncultured bacterium. Its description in RNAcentral is "partial 16S ribosomal RNA". It matches the Rfam family "Bacterial small subunit ribosomal RNA", at positions 534 to 776 of the family's 1533-position model. The record is from RNAcentral.
GCGAGCGUUGUCCGGAAUUAUUGGGCGUAAAGGGCUCGUAGGCGGUCUGUCACGUCGGGUGUGAAAACUCGGGGCUUAACUCCGAGCCUGCUUCUGAUACGGGCAGACUAGAGGUAUGCAGGGGAGAAUGGAAUUCCUGGUGUAGCGGUGAAAUGCGCAGAUAUCAGGAGGAACACCGGUGGCGAAGGCGGUUCUCUGGGCAUGACCUGACGCUGAGGAGCGAAAGUGUGGGGAGCGAACAGG